This 597-nucleotide ribosomal RNA is filed under the name uncultured fungus. RNAcentral's name for it is "eukaryotic LSU rRNA". It matches the Rfam family "Eukaryotic large subunit ribosomal RNA", at positions 40 to 647 of the family's 3401-position model. The record is from RNAcentral. Lineage: Eukaryota; Fungi.
AUAUCAAUAAGCGGAGGAAAAGAAACUAACAAGGAUUCCCCUAGUAACGGCGAGUGAAGCGGGAUGAGCUCAAAUUUAAAAUCUGGUAGCCUUUGGUUGCCCGAGUUGUAAUCUAGAGAAGCGUUUUCCGUGCUGGACUGUGUACAAGUUUCCUGGAUACGGAACAUCAUAGAGGGUGAGAAUCCCGUCCAUGGUCUCAAGCCUUUCAUUUUGUGAUACGUUUUCUAAGAGUCAGGUUGUUUGGGAAUGCAGCCUAAAAUGGGUGGUAAAUUUCAUCUAAAGCUAAAUAUUGGCGAGAGACCGAUAGCGAACAAGUACCGUGAGGGAAAGAUGAAAAGAACUUUGAAAAGAGAGUUAAAAAGUACGUGAAAUUGUUGAAAGGGAAGCGCUUACAAUCAGACCUGCUUGCAGUUGUUAAUCUAGGCCUUGUGUUUAGUGUAUUCUUCUGUAAUCAGGCCAGUAUCGGUUUAGGCGGUUGGAUAAAGAUUUUAGGAAUGUAGCUCUCUUCGGGGAGUGUUAUAGCCUAAUUUGCAAUGCAACCAGCCUAGAUCGAGGACCGCGCUUCGGCUAGGAUACUGGCGUAAUGGUUGUAAGCGG